ACGCGUGGGCAACCUGCCUUACACAGGGGGAUAACAGUUAGAAAUGACUGCUAAUACCGCAUAAGACCACAGGACUGCAUGGUCAGGUGGUAAAAACUCCGGUAGUAUAAGAUGAGCCCGCGUCUGAUUAGCUGGUUGGUGGGGUAACGGCCUACCAAGGCGACGAUCAGUAGCCGGCCUGAGAGGGUGAACGGCCACAUUGGGACUGAGACACGGCCCAAACUCCUACGGGAGGCAGCAGUGGGGAAUAUUGCACAAUGGGGGAAACCCUGAUGCAGCGACGCCGCGUGAGUGAAGAAGUAUUUCGGUAUGUAAAGCUCUAUCAGCAGGGAAGAGAAUGACGGUACCUGACUAAGAAGCCCCGGCUAACUACGUGCCAGCAGCCGCGGUAAUACGUAGGGGGCAAGCGUUAUCCGGAUUUACUGGGUGUAAAGGGAGCGUAGACGGCUGUACAAGUCUGGAGUGAAAGGCGGGGGCUCAACCCCCGGACUGCUCUGGAAACUGUACGGCUGGAGUGCAGGAGAGGUAAGUGGAAUUCCUAGUGUAGCGGUGAAAUGCGUAGAUAUUAGGAGGAACACCAGUGGCGAAGGCGGCUUACUGGACUGUAACUGACGUUGAGGCUCGAAAGCGUGGGGAGCAAACAGGAUUAGAUACCCUGGUAGUCCACGCCGUAAACGAUGAUCACUAGGUGU
RNAcentral lists this ribosomal RNA (692 nucleotides) under uncultured bacterium. Its description in RNAcentral is "bacterial SSU rRNA". It matches the Rfam family "Bacterial small subunit ribosomal RNA", at positions 113 to 823 of the family's 1533-position model. The record is from RNAcentral.